This is a non-coding RNA of Cinara cedri, 287 nucleotides long. Lineage: Eukaryota; Metazoa; Arthropoda; Insecta; Hemiptera; Aphididae. The record is from the annotation of a GenBank genome assembly.
UCCUGUGUAAAUGUACGGAAUCCUGACACGUUUCGUCGUUGAUGCAAUUGUUGCGGUUUUAAAUGUCCUAGUUCCAAUUCGGAUAUUCCGGGGAAAAAAAAAAACUCUAGUUUUAGCUGAAUAUGCUGAUGACACGGAGAAAACUGUUUCACUGUCAAACUCAUACUUUGGAAAAACUUAUCAAUCACAUCAAUUUCUGUUUAGUCAUUUGACUUGACUCCUUCUACUUUUUUCUUUUUCGAUAACGUAUUGCAUCAAAUGCGAGGACGCGGAUUCUGAUGUGGUAC